AUUGAACGCUGGCGGCAGGCUUAACACAUGCAAGUCGAACGAGUGGCGGACGGGUGAGUAAUGCUUGGGAAUCUAGCUUAUGGAGGGGGAUAACUACGGGAAACUGUAGCUAAUACCGCGUACCAUAGGAUGAGCCCAAGUGGGAUUAGGGAGUUGGAGGGGAAAAGGCUCACCAAGCCGACGGUAUCUAGCUGGUCUGAGAGGAUGACCCAGCAUACUGGUACGGAGACACGGCCCCGCCUCCUACGGGAGGCAGCAGUGGAGAAUAUUGCGCAAUGGGGGCGUCCGAACGCAGCCAUGCCGCGUGAAUGAAGAAGGCCUUCGGGUUGUACAGUUCUUUCGGUAGCGAGGCGUUAACUACAGAAGAAGCACCGGCUAACUCCGUGCCAGCAGCCGCGGUAAUUC
RNAcentral lists this ribosomal RNA (405 nucleotides) under uncultured bacterium. RNAcentral describes it as "partial 16S ribosomal RNA". It matches the Rfam family "Bacterial small subunit ribosomal RNA", at positions 30 to 526 of the family's 1533-position model. The record is from RNAcentral.